This 347-nucleotide ribosomal RNA is filed under the name uncultured bacterium. Its description in RNAcentral is "bacterial SSU rRNA". It matches the Rfam family "Bacterial small subunit ribosomal RNA", at positions 165 to 507 of the family's 1533-position model. The record is from RNAcentral.
AAUACCGCAUAUUCUGUGGGCAGGAAGAGGGGGAUCGCAAGACCUCUUGCUUUAGGAGCGGCCGAUGUCGGAUUAGCUAGUUGGUGAGGUAAAGGCUCACCAAGGCGACGAUCCGUAGCGGGUCUGAGAGGAUGAUCCGCCACACUGGGACUGAGACACGGCCCAGACUCCUACGGGAGGCAGCAGGUGGGGUAAUUUUGGACAAUGGGCGCAAGCCUGAUCCAGCCAUGCCGCGUGAGUGAAGAAGGCCUUCGGUUGUAAAGCUCUUUCGGUGGGGAAGAAAUUGCACAGGAUAAUACCUUGUGUAGAUGACGGUACCCGCAUAAGAAGCACCGGCUAACUACGUG